Molecule: long non-coding RNA, 223 nt
Filed under: Arachis ipaensis
Lineage: Eukaryota; Viridiplantae; Streptophyta; Magnoliopsida; Fabales; Fabaceae
Description: long non-coding RNA (AIPA_LNC001725)
Source: RNAcentral
AAAGGGAAACGAAGGUUUCAGCUUCAUGACUUUGACUUUUCUCCUAUUCUUUCCUUUCAUGGUUCGCCUUCAUCAUUCAUCAUCAUCAGCAUCAUAAUCGUUUUCUUCUUGAUUCAUCGUUUUCUUCUUCAUUUUCAGCCACCUUUGUUCUUUCUUCAGCUCAAAAUCGCUCUUUCACUCUUCACACUCUUAACCCUCGCGUUUAUCCCUUGCAAACCCANNN